UUAACUCUUGGUUGAAAAGUAUCACAAAACGCUGCACUGCCGUCUUUGAAUAUGAUUGUGAUGCAUUUUUGAUGUCGCUUCUUUUGUACGUAAGUGUCCCCUUUUUCUCCUGUGUUGGCAAUUGUUCACACUGUGGAUCUACUACAAACUGAUUGAGGACAUUGAGUUGAGUUGAUUGCAUCAAGUGAUCCAAGCUCAGAACAUCUGAAAAUGGAGAGCAAUGAGGAAGGUACCCACAUUCACACAAAAAACAGACCCAGCUCACGUACCAAUAAGGAUUCCAAACGAAAAGGCUUCCUGGCGUUGUGUUUCCUGGGCCUGCUUGGUGCUCUCCUGCUUUUGUUUUUGAAGGCCUUUGUUGAGAAAGAAAAGCUUAAAAAGGAGAAUGAGCGGUUAAAGGCCAUAUACAGCACUGUUGUUGAGGAGAGAGAUGAGCUACGGACACAUGUAUCCAAAAUAGAAUCCAUGCUGGAGAUAAAAUCUUAUGCAGUUGAUGUGACUCUGGACCCUGAUACAGCGCAUCCAGGUCUUAACCUGUCUGCUGACGGGAAACAAAUGAGACAUGAAGACGUACUACAGGUUUUUCCCAGCAAUGCAGAGAGGUUUGACAUUGCGCCCUGUGCUAUGGGAAAAGAGGGAUUCUCUUCCGGAAAAUUCUAUUUUGAAGUGGAUGUCACAGGAAUGACCGAUGCAGAUUUAGGAAUAGCUUCCCACUCAGUGGAAAGGAAGGGAGAAAUAAAAGCGAGUCCUGCGCGAGGAUUCUGGGAAUUAUGGCUGAAAAAUGAGUAUGAAGCAAUAUUAGAUCAUAAGAAUAUCCCCCUCUCCAUGGAAGAGGUACCACAAGUGGUUGGGGUGUUUGUGGAUUAUGAGGCAGGUCUGGUCUCUUUCUACAAUGCAGACACCUGGCAUCAUAUCUACUCUUUCACUAGUGCUUCCUUCACUACGAAAAUAUAUCCAUCUCUCUGCAUAAAUGUAGUCGGUGAAACUCUUGCCUUCAAAACAAAGUGUCACUAGUCUUAGAAAUUAUGGAAAGCCCUUUUCAAAAAUUUUAUAUUUGAGAUUAGGAUUUGAGGUUAACUAUGAUUAGUGAUUAGAGGUCAAUUAUGAUUUUUUUUUAUGUAUAUUUUUAUUCUACCCAUAUUAGACCGUGA
Molecule: long non-coding RNA, 1151 nt
Organism: Sardina pilchardus (European sardine)
Lineage: Eukaryota; Metazoa; Chordata; Actinopteri; Clupeiformes; Clupeidae
Exons: 4
Source: RefSeq, a predicted model, not a curated record